UAGCAGCCGCCAAGGCAAGGAGAGCCUUU
This 29-nucleotide non-coding RNA is filed under the name Homo sapiens (human). Lineage: Eukaryota; Metazoa; Chordata; Mammalia; Primates; Hominidae. The record is from RNAcentral.